AGCAGGAAGGAAGCUGUGACUUGCCCUAGGGCACCCACAUUAGAGCCAAGACUAAAAAAAAAAAAAUCAAAAAAAAAAAAAAUCAGAUCAUUUUGUGAUAUCAUCUUGGGAUGGAUUCCUAGACUUCCCCAAGUCAGAUAACGCACGUUUUUGGACUUUUGAUCUGUUCUGCCAAAUGUCCCCUGAGUCAGUCAAGCCCCCUGCCCCUCUCUACUGGCAGUGUAGAGGCCCACUGGCUUCUCAAGUCCUCACUGCUAAGGGCUCUUAGCUCUUUUCAACAGCCCCUGUGAGGCCAUUCCUCCAAAAUAUGUAUUAAAAAGAAAAAUUCAGAAAGCGUUAAUACUAACUACCCUGUUAGCCUUGUACUAGCAGAUGUACAGUAUGUGUCUGUUGAGUUGAACUGCAGAGACAGCACCAAGUGGACACGCGCCUACCGGGAGCAGAACAGUCUUGCUGGGAGUGCAGCUUUUGCCCAUCCUCCCUCCCUGGAGCCAGGUGGGCAGAGAAAUGCUGCUGAGGUGGGGCCUGGCUGCUCCCUCAUCCCCUUAUCUGUUCCCCUGAGACGUCUGAAUACACUGAGAGUGGCAGGAAUGCAGCAGGGCCUCACUGGAAUUCAUCUCUCACCAGCCUGUGAACUGCUGUUUCGGAUGUCCCCUGAGCAGGGAACCCUACCUGUGGCUCCAGGAUGGGGCUGUGCUGGCCUGACCGCUUUGUAAUAAAGCUCUCCUACAGGGUUUUAUAGUAUCCAAGACACUUUGACAUCAAGGAACUCCUUUGAUCCUUCUGCAACAUGUAAAUUGGGCUGAGCGAGAGUAUCAUUAUCUGCAUUUUACAGAUGGGGAAAUUUGAGGCUCUGAUUAAAAUGAUGGUUCAGUUUCACAUUGCUGCAAGUCAAGAUUUCUGUCACCUUAUUGGGAAUUCCCUGGUGGCCCAGUGGUUAGAACUCAGCACUUUGACUGCUGUGGGCCCAGGUUCAGUCCUCGGUCGGGGAGGAAAGAUGUUGCAAGCUGUGUAACAUGGCCUCACCCACCCCUCCUCCAAAAAAAAAAAAAAAAGACUUAGGUAGCUUUGCCUACUAAUUAUCGUAGGUACAUACUGUGUGGGGCUCUUUGGCCAAGUUACUUCACUCAUUCCUCACAAAACUCUCACAGGUGUGUUAGGUAGUUAGAAUAGGGAAAAGGAGUCCAGAAUGGCGGUAGCUAAAAGAUGAGGAAGAGAAAAGCCUGAGAAAAUAGAACAAAGGAAGGUCCGAGGACCAGAGUGAGGACCUCAGGUAAAACAACACUCCUGGCUGGCCCAAUUUACACAGGACAGGCCCAGGGAGAGAAAAACAUAAAAAGAGGAGCCGAAGCUCGCUCACUCUCUCUCUUUCCCCCGGGCGCUGGGGCGCUCUUCUCUUCGCGUCUUUGGGUCGACAUGGCCUCACGCCUCAACGAUGGAUUUUCCUGCUAUUAUCUAAAUAAAAUUAAGAGCUGUAACA
Molecule: long non-coding RNA, 1480 nt
Filed under: Bos indicus x Bos taurus (hybrid cattle)
Lineage: Eukaryota; Metazoa; Chordata; Mammalia; Artiodactyla; Bovidae
Description: lncRNA (ENSBIXG00000012052.1)
Rfam family: tRNA (bases 920-992)
Source: RNAcentral